Molecule: ribosomal RNA, 252 nt
Filed under: uncultured bacterium
Lineage: Bacteria
Description: partial 16S ribosomal RNA
Rfam family: Bacterial small subunit ribosomal RNA
Source: RNAcentral
UACGUAGGCAGCGAGCGUUGUUCGGAAUUACUGGGCGUAAAGAGUGUGUAGGCGGUGCUCUAAGUUCGGUGUGAAAUCUCCUGGCUCAACUGGGAGGGUGCGCCGGAAACUGGAGUGCUUGAGCGUGGGAGAGGAAAGCGGAAUUCCUGGUGUAGCGGUGAAAUGCGUAGAUAUCAGGAGGAACACCUGUGGUGUAGACGGCUUUCUGGACCAUAGCUGACGCUGAGACACGAAAGCGUGGGUAGCAACAGG